UACGGAGGAUGCGAGCGUUAUCCGGAUUUAUUGGGUUUAAAGGGCGCGUAGGCGGACGCUUAAGUCAGCGGUAAAAUUGCGGGGCUCAACCUCGUCGAGCCGUUGAAACUGGGUGCCUUGAGUGGGCGAGAAGUACGCGGAAUGCGUGGUGUAGCGGUGAAAUGCAUAGAUAUCACGCAGAACUCCGAUUGCGAAGGCAGCGUACCGGCGCCCAACUGACGCUGAAGCACGAAGGCGUGGGUAUCGAACAGG
This 252-nucleotide ribosomal RNA is filed under the name uncultured bacterium. Its description in RNAcentral is "partial 16S ribosomal RNA". It matches the Rfam family "Bacterial small subunit ribosomal RNA", at positions 524 to 776 of the family's 1533-position model. The record is from RNAcentral.